Molecule: ribosomal RNA, 463 nt
Filed under: uncultured bacterium
Lineage: Bacteria
Description: partial 16S ribosomal RNA
Rfam family: Bacterial small subunit ribosomal RNA
Source: RNAcentral
GAUGAACGCUGACAGAAUGCUUAACACAUGCAAGUCUUUGGCGAAGCUGUGCUUGCACAGCCUAGCCAAGGCGGACGGGUGAGUAACGCGUAAGGAACUUGCCCUGCAGUCAGGGAUAACAGACGGAAACGACUGAUAAGACCUGGUAAAGUCAGGCGGACUCAUGUCCAGCCUGAUGAAAAGAGAUGCUGCAGGAGAGCCUUGCGUCCUAUUAGCUUGUUGGUGGGGUAACGGCCCACCAAGGCGAUGAUAGGUAGCCGGCCUGAGAGGGUGGACGGCCACAAGGGGACUGAGAUACGGCCCUUACUCAUACGGGAGGCAGCAGUGGGGAAUGUUGGACAAUGGGGGCAACCCUGAUCCAGCAAUUCUGUGUGCACGAUGAAGGUUUUCGGAUUGUAAAGUGCUUUCAGCAGGGAAGAAAAAAAUGACGGUACCUGCAGAAGAAGCGACGGCUAAAUACGUG